RNAcentral lists this unclassified non-coding RNA (382 nucleotides) under Hevea brasiliensis (rubber tree). The record is from RNAcentral. Lineage: Eukaryota; Viridiplantae; Streptophyta; Magnoliopsida; Malpighiales; Euphorbiaceae.
UUGAGUUUAGAAGUGCUAUUUGAACUGUUUUGCAGGUUGGGUAAGUCUCAAGUAUAGGGAAAACUCUGCCAGAUUUUCGGCAUGAAUUAGACUGUCUAUUGUCUCUUUAGAGUCUUAUUCUGAAUUAAUGCUAAUAAAUCCAUAAUAUAAUUAUCUAGGUAAACUCGAACACGAAAUUGCUCAUUUUCGGCUAAUACUGAUUUAAAAUAAAAUUUAUAAAUUAUUCGUGGAUGAUCAGAAAAUUAUGAUUCUUUUUUUGCAAUAGCCUCAUAAUAUUGUUAAAGACUGCGGAACAAGUUUAUAGAAUUUUUAAAGUCAAUUUGGAUAGUUUUUGAGAAAUGUUAGUUUUAAAAUAUUGUAAUUGAGUUGUCUGAUGUUGUGA